Molecule: ribosomal RNA, 222 nt
Filed under: Blackburnia erythropus
Lineage: Eukaryota; Metazoa; Arthropoda; Insecta; Coleoptera; Carabidae
Description: partial 28S ribosomal RNA
Rfam family: Eukaryotic large subunit ribosomal RNA
Source: RNAcentral
GAAGUCGGAAUCCGCUAAGGAGUGUGUAACAACUCACCUGCCGAAGUUAGUAGCCCUAUACCCAUUGGGCGAAAGGGAAUCCGGUUUAUACUUAACCGUCGGGACAGUAGCAACAUUUGUUUCAUAUACGUUAUGUCCAAGUGUUAUUAGGUCCCGACGAGUAGGAUGGUCACAACGGUGAGCGCAGAAGGAUUGGGCGUGAGCCUGUCUGGAGCCGCCGUU